GAUGAACGCUGGCGGCGUGCCUAAUACAUGCAAGUCGAGCGCACAAACUAGGAGCUUGCUCCUCUGAUGUUAGCUGCGGACGGGUGAGUAACACGUGGAUAACCUACCUAUAAGCCUGGGAUAACUUCGGGAAACCGGAGCUAAUACCGGAUAACAUUUUGAACCGCAUGGUUCAACCGUAAAAGACGCUCUUGCUGUCCCUUCUAAAUGGCUUCGCGCCGCAUUAGCUAGUUGGUAAGGUAACGGCUUACAAAGGCAACGAUGCGUAGCCGACCUGAGAGGGUGAUCGGCCACACUGGAACUGAGACACGGUCCAGACUCCUACGGGAGGCAGCAGUAGGGAAUCUUCCGAAAUGGGCGAAAGCCUGACGGAGAAACGCCGCGUGAGUGAAGAAGGUCUUCGGAUCGUAAAACUCUGUUAAUAGGGAAGAACAAAGGUGUAAGGAAAUAUGCACGUCUUGACGGUACCUAACCAGAAAGCCACGGCUAACUACGUG
Molecule: ribosomal RNA, 497 nt
Filed under: uncultured bacterium
Lineage: Bacteria
Description: partial 16S ribosomal RNA
Rfam family: Bacterial small subunit ribosomal RNA
Source: RNAcentral